Molecule: regulatory RNA element, 90 nt
Organism: Haematobacter massiliensis
Lineage: Bacteria; Pseudomonadati; Pseudomonadota; Alphaproteobacteria; Rhodobacterales; Paracoccaceae
Rfam family: chrB-a RNA
Source: Rfam
CAUAUGGGGAUCCGCGAGCUCCCCACGAGGCGUCAGCUGAAACUCGCGUUCCAAUCCCGUUCCAUUGAACCCAAGGAGGGAACGCACAUG